GGGGAUGUAAUGGCUUCGACAAAUGUCUAUUUGAUAUUAUUGCAGUGGUUUGGUAGACCAUAAUACCAAGAGGAAUUCUUAAUUGGAAACGAUGAAGAAACAAUUCCAACAUACAUGUUAAAUACUUCAAACGAAGUAGCAAUGUACGCUUAGUUGGAACUUUUCUAUUUUAAUCUUCUGUGGUUAUUUUAGAAGAGACGUUUACACAGAAUAUACUCUCUAUUAUCCCAGGGUAGGGAGCGAACUUUAUGGGAAACUCAUUAGUAGUUUUGCUAUGUGUGCUUCUAAUGUGUGAUUAACACAUAGAUAAACUGUAGAAGUAAUUGAUAAGAACCAUUUGGACCCGGGUUCGACUCCCGGCAUCUCCACCA
This 371-nucleotide transfer-messenger RNA is filed under the name Mycoplasmataceae bacterium. It matches the Rfam family "transfer-messenger RNA". From Rfam's summary of the family: Bacterial tmRNA, also known as 10Sa RNA or SsrA, is named for its dual tRNA and mRNA-like properties. Its role is to liberate the mRNA from a stalled ribosome. Lineage: Bacteria; Bacillati; Mycoplasmatota; Mollicutes; Mycoplasmatales; Mycoplasmataceae. RNAcentral also lists the same sequence under 2 other names. The record is from RNAcentral.